CAAAGGUUCGGUCCCAGCCUUGAAAUCAGUUAUUACCCAGCAUACACAUGCAAGUCUCCGCACCCCUGUGAGAACACCCUUAUUCUUUUAUUAAAGAUAAGGAGUAGGUAUCAGGCACAAUAAUUAGCCCAAGACACCUAGUCAUGCCACACCCACACGGGAUUUCAGCAGUGAUUAACAUUAAACAUAAGCGACAGCUUGAUUUAGCCAGGGUAAAGAGAGCCGGCAAAUCUGGUGCCAGCCGCCGCGGCUACACCACGUGGCUCAAAUGGAUUUCUUUCGGCGUAAAGCGUGGUUUAAGAGCAUAACAAGCUAGAGUUAAACUUAAAUUAAGUUGUGAUAAUCUUGUAUUUAGGAAGCCCAAAAACGAAAGUUACUCUAAUAUAAUCAACUUGAACCCACGACAGCUAGGACACAAACUGGGAUUAGAUACCCCACUAUGCCUAGCCGUAAACUUUAAUUUACAACCAAAUCGCCAGGGAACUACGAGCAAAGCUUAAAACCCAAAGGACUUGACGGUACCCCACAUCCACCUAGAGGAGCCUGUCCUAUAAUCGAUGAUCCACGUUAAACCUCACCACUUCUAGUUUAUCAGCCUGUAUACCUCCGUCGUCAGUUUACCGCAUGAGCGGCCUUCAGUAAGCUCAAUGGUUAUUCACCAAUACGUCAGGUCAAGGUGCAGCAUAUGAAGUGGGAAGAGAUGGGCUACACUCUCUAACUUUAGAGGACACGAAAGACUUUAUGAAACAUAGUCAGAAGGCGGAUUUAGAAGUAAGAAGGAGUCAGAAUACCCUUCUUAACACGGUUCUGGGGUGUGUACACACCGCCCGUCAACCUCUUCGAUAGCCUAAUUUUUAGUACAUAACUAGCUAAUUGCACAAUAGAAGAGGUAAGUCGUAACAUGGUAAGUAUACCGGAAGGUGUGCUUGGAUA
RNAcentral lists this non-coding RNA (933 nucleotides) under Gastrotheca ernestoi. Its description in RNAcentral is "partial 12S ribosomal RNA". It matches the Rfam family "Bacterial small subunit ribosomal RNA". Lineage: Eukaryota; Metazoa; Chordata; Amphibia; Anura; Hemiphractidae. The record is from RNAcentral.